This 3337-nucleotide long non-coding RNA is filed under the name Gossypium barbadense (sea-island cotton). RNAcentral describes it as "long non-coding RNA (GBAR_LNC014049)". Lineage: Eukaryota; Viridiplantae; Streptophyta; Magnoliopsida; Malvales; Malvaceae. The record is from RNAcentral.
CCCUUGUGAGGGGUCAUUCUGAACAAACCGAGGGUCCUGCAAGGUACUACCACCGGUUGGAUAACUGCCGUAUAUUACUUUGCUUCUUAUUUUUAUUUUUUUACAUAUUCUAUCAACAAUUAGUUGAAUUUCCAAAGAGGAAGAACCAAAUAUACAACCACCUCCGCAAGAGGUCAUUAAUGUUGGUUUGAGAAAAUCUUUUAAAGUGAAAAAUCUAACAAUUUCUACUGAUUAUGUAGUAUACUUAAAAUGAGUUUUUCUUUUGGCCAGAAAAGGAAAGUAGUUUAUUUAUGAAAUAUUAGCAUAAAGUUGAAUACAUAAUUACCCCUCAAACAUCAUUUAAGAGAAGGCGAUCAGAGGGAUCAUAAUAGACAUAAAAUAAACCAAAAGUAAAAAAGUUCAUUUAAAGAUAAAAACAACUAAAAACUACUACCUAAAUGGGCUAAAGCAUUUGCAUAUUUGUUCUCUCCUUGAAAUACAUGUCUCCAAUAACUAGAACUCAGAGAAUGGAGGAGCCUCCUGCAUUCAUCAAUCAAAUGAGAUAACACAAAGUUUUGAUUAGUCGAUUUUUGCAUAAAGGAAAGAACAAAAGUAGCAUCUACUUCAAUUUCAAUGUUGAGAAUAUUAUGGUCAUGGGCAAGGGUCAAUCUGUUAUGGUAAGCUCCAAUCACCCAAUUACCCAAGUGAUCCCCAAUAAGAGCACCUGCACCCACUUUCUCUGGAUUGCCCGGAGAAGAGCCUUCUGUAUUAAGCUUGAACCAUCCCACACAAAGGGGGCUUCCAAGAGACAAGGACAAAGUCAAAGAGACCCUCUGCUUCUUAAGAGGGAGAAAAUAGUGAAUUCAUAAGCAUUUCAAAGGACCUAUACUAAUUGAAGAUUAAGGCCUUUUAACAUAACUAAAUGUAACAGCCUGUUUUCAGUGAAAUCAAAACAGUGGUUUCGGGACCACAAAUCUGAAGUCAAAAAAAUUAUUUUAUUAUUACUUUAUUGUCUACAGCAUGAUAGAAAUUUUACCGUUUACAUGCUCAAUUUGAUAAAAAGGACUAAAUCGCGUAAAGUGCAAAAGAUGAGUUCUAAGAGCUAAAAGUAUUAAAUAAAUAUAGGACUUUAAAGUGGAGGUUCUUAUAUGGUAAUUAGACCAUUAUUUUGCUAGUGGAUAAUAAUGGCUUGGCAUUUUGUGUAAUUAUUAAAGCUUUUAAAGGUUAAUUUUGGAAAUAAGUAAUUAAAGUUAAUAAUAAAUAAAACCAAAUUAAAACAUCAUUUUGUAUCAUCUUUCCCAAUUGAAUAUCAAACAAAAUGUUUGAAUGUUUAAAGUAUUUCUAAGUUAAAGGUCAUUUUAUAAAAAGAUAAGAGCUCUAUGAAUUCUCUCUGCGAAAAUACUGAAUCUGAAAAAUCCAUUACUGAGGAGUUGAUCCCUAAGAAAGUUCGUUUCAGAAAUGAAGAUGUUGAUACAAACAAUAAUAUGUUGAUCGAUACAUCUCCAGGAAAAUCUAUCUCGUGGAGGGAUAUGCUUGUAGGACAUUCGUCAAAGGAUACUCACAUUGAUUUGGAAGGAAAAGAAGAUAUGGAAAUUUUGGAUGGGGACAUUCAAAAAACCUUUGUGGAUGGCGUACCUUCCAUUUCCUUCUCGGAUAGGAUUCACAAAAUCCUUAUUCAAGGUAUGGAUAACACAGUGAUUUUAAAACUUCUUGGUCGUAACAUUUCCUUUUCGGUUUUGCAGAAUAAAUUGUUCAAUCUGUGGAGACCUUCAGCACCUCUACAUAUGAUGGAUAUAGAAAAUGGUUAUUUCUUGGUUAAAUUCCAGAAUAAGUUGGACUGUGAAAGGGCUCUUGCUGAAGGACCUUGGAUCAUCUUUGGACAAUAUUUGACGGUUCAGCCUUGGUCGUUAGCCUUUGAUCCGAUACAAGCUUAUCCGAGCGUUGUGAUGGCAUGGAUUAGAUUUCCUGGUUUACCUGGAUAUUUAUAUAAUCAUAAAAUCAUCACUGAGAUAGGGGAAAUGGUUGGAAAAGUGGUUAAAUUGGAUAUGAACACUGAUAGUAGGACUAGGGGAAGAUUCGCUAGAUUGGCUGUUUAUGUUGACCUGGAAAAGCCGUUGGUAUCACAUAUUCUGAUCAAUGGACGUAAGCAGAACGUUGAAUAUGAAUCUUUAUACACAAUCUGUUUUCAUUGUGGGAGAUAUGGGCAUGUGGAAAACUCUUGCCCUUUUAAGAAUUCUGAAACCCCCAGUGAAAAGGAGAAUACCUCGUCGGAAAUGGCAUCGGAGUUUCAAAACACGACCAAGGUUGACGUGGAGAAGGAGCACGAGAAUUUCGGGCCUUGGAUGAUCGUUGAGAAGAAAUCAAGGCGGAAAAUCAGAGAUAAUACACAAAAUCCCUUAAAUGUCCAACAGAUUUGGAAAAAAGGAUCUCGCUUUAGAGCCCUUAAUAAUAAAGACAUGCACAAAGAGGAUUUGGAGGGUUUUUUGCCGGAUACUAGAAGCCAUAAAGGGAAGGAAAUUUUACAUGGUAAUUCUAUGGAGAAAAUUUCUGCUAAUCCUAAUAAUGGUCGAACAAUCAGAGAAAGAAACAAUAAUAAUAAAAGCAACUUAAAGGAGGUGAAUCAGAUGGACAAUUGUGGCCCACUUUUUAAAAGGAACAGUAGAACAAAUGCGGAGCCCAAUAAGCCCAGCACAAGCCUGAAAGGAAAAUCGCAUAACACAAAGAAGCCUGAUAGUAGUUUGGGCAUUGGAACCAUACCUGCUGGUCAGGCCUGUGGAGUCUUGGAGCCUUCUGGUCCAGAUUUGGGAGCCCAUCUUCCCUCUGCUGCUGCUGGAAAAGGUAGUCAGACCUUUUUUUCAGAUGAGUCACAAACAACUCCAGGUGACGAUGUGGGUCUUGAAGUCGAAGGAGAAGGAUCAAAAAAUCAGCCAGUUUUGGAGGAGUCAAGGCGGACUGCUGUCUCACUAGAUGUUGGUAACCUUGAUUAUGGUAGACAUUCGGCAGUCGUCUUUCUUGAGAACACCAAAAACCCCUCUAAUAAUUAUUCUCCUUCUCUUGCGCUUCCAUCUGGUUCAGGUAAAGCUUUUAAAAUAGAACCAGAGGAUUUGUUAAAAAACAGACUAAAAUUCUCCAUAGCAGUAAUGUUCGCUUCAAAACUUCGGGAGUCCAGCGAACACCUUUGAAGGAGUCAAUAGAAUUUCUUGCUGAGAGCAUCUCGACUUUUGCUAAGCCUAAUAUUGAGGUUGAAUCUAGCAUCGAAAUUAGUGGGCAAAAAGAGGGAAUUAAUGUUUCUGGACAAUAAGGAUAUAUUUUCUAUUCUUAUUUGUUUGACUUGUUUUUUGUUAAUUUGAUAUUAGAG